CCUACGGGUGGCAGCAGUGGGGAAUAUUGGGCAAUGGAGGAAACUCUUACCCAGCAAUGCCGCGUGAAUGAAGAAGGUCUUCGGAUUGUAAAGUUCUUUAAUUGGGGACGAAAAAAAUGACGGUACCCAAGGAAUAAGCCUCGUCUAACUAGGUGCCAGCAGCCGCGGUAUUCCGGAGGAUGCGAGCGUUUUCCGGAUUUAUUGGGUUUAAAGGGUGCGUAGGCGGGCUGUUAAGUCAGCGGUAAAAUCCCGGGGAUAAACCCCGACGAGCCGUUGAAACUGGCUGUCUUGAGAUGACGUGAGGUAAGCGGAAUGCGCGGUGUAGCGGUGAAAUGCUUAGAUAUUGCGCAGAACCCCGAUUGCGAAGGCAGCAUACCGGCGGCGAUCUGACGCUGAGGCUCGAAAGCGUGGGUAUCGAACAGGAUUAGAUACCCGGGUAGUC
RNAcentral lists this ribosomal RNA (442 nucleotides) under uncultured bacterium. RNAcentral describes it as "partial 16S ribosomal RNA". It matches the Rfam family "Bacterial small subunit ribosomal RNA", at positions 338 to 795 of the family's 1533-position model. The record is from RNAcentral.